This 495-nucleotide ribosomal RNA is filed under the name uncultured bacterium. RNAcentral's name for it is "partial 16S ribosomal RNA". It matches the Rfam family "Bacterial small subunit ribosomal RNA", at positions 28 to 507 of the family's 1533-position model. The record is from RNAcentral.
GACGAACGCUGGCGGCGUGCCUAAUACAUGCAAGUAGAACGCUGAAGGAGGAGCUUGCUUCUCUGGAUGAGUUGCGAACGGGUGAGUAACGCGUAGGUAACCUACCUGGUAGCGGGGGAUAACUAUUGGAAACGAUAGCUAAUACCGCAUAAGAGUAGAUGUCGCAUGACAUUUGCUUAAAAGGUGCAAUUGCAUCACUACCAGAUGGACCUGCGUUGUAUUAGCUAGUUGGUGAGGUAACGGCUCACCAAGGCAACGAUACAUAGCCGACCUGAGAGGGGGAUCGGCCACACUGGGACUGAGACACGGCCCAGACUCCUACGGGAGGCAGCAGUAGGGAAUCUUCGGCAAUGGACGGAAGUCUGACCGAGCAACGCCGCGUGAGUGAAGAAGGUUUUCGGAUCGUAAAGCUCGGUUGUAAGAGAAGAACGAGUGUGAGAGUGGAAAGUUCACACUGUGACGGUAUCUUACCAGAAAGGGACGGCUAACUACGUG